CUUAUAUGGCUUUAAUUAUUGCAGGUAACAACAUGCAUUUGUGGCCAGUGGAACGGGAGAGAAGGGAUCAGAUGAAGUAGUGGUGCAUACUGAGAUGGGGCGCAGGCGAGGAAUUGAGCUCCUGACAUCGACGGUGCUGUGAUGCAGCCAUGCAGGCAUGCCCAAGAGCAAGGCUCGGGAUAGAGUUUUUUUGGGUUUGUUCAGUUCUCGGUUAAUUCUGAAUCCCGUAUGGAUCUGAUGACACUAGUGUCCAUAUUUGAUUGUAGACCUAUAGCUCUUGAUAAUUUGCUUGCCAGUUAAAAUUCAAAUGACAACCCUGAACUCGCAGAUAA
Panicum virgatum (switchgrass) is the source of this 332-nucleotide long non-coding RNA. RefSeq lists it as uncharacterized. NCBI's taxonomy places the organism in Eukaryota, Viridiplantae, Streptophyta, Magnoliopsida, Poales, Poaceae. The record is from RefSeq and is a predicted model, not a curated record. The transcript is spliced from 2 exons.